ACCGGAUUCCCGACGAAGCAAUCCGAGGGACGGGGACGGGGGACCCACAGUCCUCCAGGAGACUCCGGUUUCCGCACAGGACACCGGCCGCGACAUGCACCGCAUGCCACGGCCUCGGGGUGAAGCCAGGCCCUUUCCCGCCAGGAAAGGCGAGGCCGAGCGACCUCUCAGCUCGAACCCGACAGCUGACCUCGCAGGCGCGCGUGGAGAGGAUCU
This 216-nucleotide small RNA is filed under the name Rhodococcus triatomae. Its description in RNAcentral is "c-di-AMP sequence". It matches the Rfam family "c-di-AMP riboswitch aptamer (ydaO/yuaA leader)". From Rfam's summary of the family: This family represents a conserved RNA structure found upstream of the ydaO and yuaA genes in Bacillus subtilis and related genes in other bacteria. The ydaO/yuaA element is thought to act as a genetic "off" switch for the ydaO and yuaA genes in its native state. The record is from RNAcentral. Lineage: Bacteria; Bacillati; Actinomycetota; Actinomycetes; Mycobacteriales; Nocardiaceae.